CGACAGGCCAUCACCACAGUGAGCUUCCUUAUAUGUCAACUAAUCUUCCUACUAGUGCCUUUCCAAGAGAUGCUCACUGCAUCCCUAAUGGCGUUCUCAAAGGAGUCUUAUCAGAUACAGAAUGAACCACAAGACCCACCUCACUAUUAUUUAUAGCAUAAACCAGCCAGAUGUCGCAGAUACGAUACGAAGCACAAAAUUUUCCCCGAUAAUGAGGCACAUUGUUUCUAUUCACUAUGCUAGUUAUUUUGAACCAGCAUGAAAAUAUCAAGAGCCUUUAGACUAACAUGUGUGCAUCAGUAUAUAAUUUGUGAUACAUGUUUGCUUCACUUUUUGUGAUGGGAGGUAGAAAAUUUAUUACUGGAUUUGUUUUGCCUCUCACCUUUAUUGUUUUACUGUUUCGCUUGAAAUUAUUGUGCAGUGUUUUGUGGCAUUUGCACCCCUUAUAAAGAUGCUUCAGCUGAGAUUUUGUAAAUAACAAAAAAGGUAAAAUACCGUGACUGGAACGAUACACAAAUAACCCGCACAUAGAAGAGAGGAGCUUAUGACAUGGUGUAAAUGGUCCAAGUCGGAGCGAAACUUCGCUUCGACUUGGACCAUUUCCUCUCUUCUAUGUGCGGGUUAUUUGUGAGAUUUUGUAGUGUAAUUCACUGGUAAGUGUAUUUAGGUAUAGUUACACAAUUUUGGAUGAAUUAUAAUUGUGUUACAUGGUAAUAUGUGCCAAAAUACAUAGGAUAACCUCAAAGUCAAAAGUGACUUAUUGCUAUUGAGAUCCUUGUAACAGCUAAGUAAUAGCCUAUUAGACUAAUAACCCCUCACAUACGAUACAAACUUAUGACGACGUUUCGGUCCGAUUUGGUAACUAAUGAUCCAAGUCGGACCGAAACGUCGUCAUAAGUUUCAUUCUCGUGUGUGCGGGUUGUGCAUUGUUCCAGUCACGGUAUUUUGCCUUUUUACUCUUUAAUAACCUAUUAGAUACAGUAAAAACAGCAAUGAUAAUUAACUAUAUAGAAAAUAAAUUGAGUAAAUCAAAUACGUGAAAAUGAAUCAGAUUAAAAAUAAGCAAAAUUAAGUGAGACACAUAAAAAUUAAUUACACGAUCAUUGAAAAGAAAAAUUACCAGCUGAACAUGAGAGUUGCACGAAUGUUACAUGUAACUAUACAAGAAAGUCGCUUUCCUACCUCUCUGUACCUUCAAUCAACGAGUAUUUUUUAGCUCUCUUCCUAAACUAGUUUAUACUGAGAUUGGCCUUGACAAACUCUAGCAUCUCUGACUUGAAUGAGCGUCUGUAUUUACUUCACUGUUACCAAAUAGUCAGUAACUGGGAGGCCUGGUGAUGGACCGGGCCGCGGGGGCGUUGACCCCAGAAAUUCCCUCCGGGUAAAAAUGAGGGAAUAUCUGUUGGUUGCUAAUAAUCAUAAGGUUUAUACAUAAUAAAGUCAUCAAAUAUUAAAAAUAA
Molecule: non-coding RNA, 1460 nt
Organism: Cherax quadricarinatus
Lineage: Eukaryota; Metazoa; Arthropoda; Malacostraca; Decapoda; Parastacidae
Source: RefSeq, a predicted model, not a curated record